CCUACGGGUGGCAGCAGUGGGGAAUAUUGCACAAUGGGGGAAACCCUGAUGCAGCGACGCCGCGUGAGCGAUGAAGUAUUUCGGUAUGUAAAGCUCUAUCAGCAGGGAAGAAAAUGACGGUACCUGACUAAGAAGCCCCGUCUAACUACGUGCCAGCAGCCGCGGUAAUACGUAGGGGGCAAGCGUUAUCCGGAUUUACUGGGUGUAAAGGGUGCGUAGACGGGGGUGCAAGCCAGAUGUGAAAGCCCGGGGCUCACCCCCGGGACUGCAUUUGGAACUGUUCUGCUAGAGUGUCGGAGAGGCAGGAGGAAUUGCUAGGGGAGCGGUGAAAUGCGUAGAUAUUAGGAGGAACACCAGUGGCGAAGGCGGCCUGCUGGACGAUGACUGACGUUGAGGCUCGAAAGCGUGGGGAGCAAACAGGAUUAGAUACCCUUGUAGUC
RNAcentral lists this ribosomal RNA (440 nucleotides) under uncultured bacterium. RNAcentral's name for it is "partial 16S ribosomal RNA". It matches the Rfam family "Bacterial small subunit ribosomal RNA", at positions 338 to 795 of the family's 1533-position model. The record is from RNAcentral.